RNAcentral lists this ribosomal RNA (303 nucleotides) under uncultured bacterium. RNAcentral's name for it is "partial 16S ribosomal RNA". It matches the Rfam family "Bacterial small subunit ribosomal RNA", at positions 507 to 809 of the family's 1533-position model. The record is from RNAcentral.
AGCAGCCGCCGCGGUAAUACGAAGGGUGCAAGCGUUACUCGGAAUUACUGGGCGUAAAGCGUGCGUAGGUGGUGGUUUAAGUCCGUUGUGAAAGCCCUGGGCUCAACCUGGGAAUUGCAGUGGAUACUGGAUCACUAGAAUGUGGUAGAGGAUAGUGGAAUUUCCGGUGUAGCAGUGAAAUGCGUAGAGAUCGGAAGGAACAUCUGUGGCGAAGGCGACUAUCUGGGCCAACACUGACACUGAGGCACGAAAGCGUGGGGAGCAAACAGGAUUAGAUACCCCCGUAGUCCCUGUCUCUUAUCC